This 253-nucleotide ribosomal RNA is filed under the name uncultured bacterium. Its description in RNAcentral is "partial 16S ribosomal RNA". It matches the Rfam family "Bacterial small subunit ribosomal RNA", at positions 524 to 776 of the family's 1533-position model. The record is from RNAcentral.
UACGGAGGGUGCAAGCGUUAUCCGGAAUCAUUGGGUUUAAAGGGUCCGCAGGCGGAUUUAUAAGUCAGUGGUGAAAUCCCAUCGCUCAACGAUGGAACUGCCAUUGAUACUGUAAGUCUUGAAUUCGGUCGAAGUGGGCGGAAUGUGACAUGUAGCGGUGAAAUGCUUAGAUAUGUCACAGAACACCGAUAGCGAAGGCAGCUCACUAGGCCUGGAUUGACGCUCAGGGACGAAAGCGUGGGGAGCAAACAGG